UACGAAGGGGGCUAGCGAUGUUCGGAUUUACGGGGCGUAAAGGGCGCGUAGGCGGAUUUUUAAGUCGGGGGUGAAAUCCCGGAGCUCAACUCCGGAACUGCCUUCGAUACUGAAAGUCUGGAGCACGGUAGAGGUGAGUGGAAUUCCGAGUGUAGAGGUGAAAUUCGUAGAUAUUCGGAGGAACACCAGUGGCGAAGGCGGCUCACUGGACCGUUGCUGACGCUGAGGCGAGAAAGCGUGGGGAGCAAACAGG
This 253-nucleotide ribosomal RNA is filed under the name uncultured bacterium. RNAcentral's name for it is "partial 16S ribosomal RNA". It matches the Rfam family "Bacterial small subunit ribosomal RNA", at positions 524 to 776 of the family's 1533-position model. The record is from RNAcentral.